Molecule: ribosomal RNA, 492 nt
Filed under: uncultured bacterium
Lineage: Bacteria
Description: partial 16S ribosomal RNA
Rfam family: Bacterial small subunit ribosomal RNA
Source: RNAcentral
AGUGAACGCUGGCGGUAGGCCUAACACAUGCAAGUCGAACGGCAGCACAGUAAGAGCUUGCUCUUACGGGUGGCGAGUGGCGGACGGGUGAGGAAUACAUCGGAAUCUACUUUUUCGUGGGGGAUAACGUAGGGAAACUUACGCUUAUACCGCAUACGACCUACGGGUGAAAGCAGGGGAUCUUCGGACCUUGCGCGAUUGAAUGAGCCGAUGUCGGAUUAGCUAGUUGGCGGGGUAAAGGCCCACCAAGGCGACGAUCCGUAGCUGGUCUGAGAGGAUGAUCAGCCACACUGGAACUGAGACACGUUCCAGACUCCUACGGGAGGCAGCAGUGGGGAAUAUUGGACAAUGGGCGCAAGCCUGAUCCAGCCAUACCGCGUGGGUGAAGAAGGCCUUCGGGUUGUAAAGCCCUUUUGUUGGGAAAGAAAAGCAGCAGGUUAAUACCCCGCUGUUCUGACGGUACCCAAAGAAUAAGCACCGGCUAACUUCGUG